UACGAAGGGGGCUAGCGUUGUUCGGAUUUACUGGGCGUAAAGCGCACGUAGGCGGAUCGUUAAGUCGGGGGUGAAAUCCUGGAGCUCAACUCCAGAACUGCCUUCGAUACUGGCGAUCUUGAGUCCGGAAGAGGUGAGUGGAACUCCUAGUGUGGAGGUGGAAUUCGUAGAUAUUAGGAAGAACACCAGUGGCGAAGGCGGCUCACUGGUCCGGUACUGACGCUGAGGUGCGAAAGCGUGGGGAGCGAACAGG
This 253-nucleotide ribosomal RNA is filed under the name uncultured bacterium. RNAcentral's name for it is "partial 16S ribosomal RNA". It matches the Rfam family "Bacterial small subunit ribosomal RNA", at positions 524 to 776 of the family's 1533-position model. The record is from RNAcentral.